UCUCUAUACGAACUGCACUCUACUGCUCCCUGCCCGGGGCGCUAGUGCAGUUCCUCCGAGACCUGGGAGCGUGAGCUGCGUCCUCGACCGCCCUUUAUCCCCCCCGCCCUUUGGAUUCUCCCGACCUCGAUGGCCCAAUGGAACGGCGCCUUUCCCGGACUCCACGCCCCUCUGCGUCCUUCUCCAGGCCCUGGAAACAGUGGUUUCCGGUUCUUCCCUGUCCGCUCCGUGCGAAGGUUUUGGACCUCGAAUACAGCCGUGACUCCCUCUCCUCGGUUGAAAUCCUCACUACGUCAUUAGCUCGGUGAGAGCACAGGUCUUUUCCAACGCGUUCUCUGCCGUCCCCCCUAAAACAGCGGGGCAUCGUCACACCUAAGGGCUCCUGCGCCCAUGAAUCUACAGCCUAGGCUGGAAUGACAGAAAAUAAGACCUGUAGUUUCUUUGUAAGCAAAAUAAAUGUUCUGAAUGGUAA
Molecule: long non-coding RNA, 472 nt
Organism: Tupaia belangeri chinensis (Chinese tree shrew)
Lineage: Eukaryota; Metazoa; Chordata; Mammalia; Scandentia; Tupaiidae
Exons: 2
Source: RefSeq, a predicted model, not a curated record